GCCGAGGUGGUGGAACUGGCAGACACGCAGCCUUGAGGUGGCUGUGAGAGAAAUCUUGUAGGGGUUCGAGUCCCCUCCUCGGCACCA
RNAcentral lists this transfer RNA (87 nucleotides) under candidate division TM6 bacterium JCVI TM6SC1. RNAcentral describes it as "tRNA-Leu". It matches the Rfam family "tRNA". From Rfam's summary of the family: Transfer RNA (tRNA) molecules are approximately 80 nucleotides in length. Their secondary structure includes four short double-helical elements and three loops (D, anti-codon, and T loops). Further hydrogen bonds mediate the characteristic L-shaped molecular structure. tRNAs have two regions of fundamental functional importance: the anti-codon, which is responsible for specific mRNA codon recognition, and the 3' end, to which the tRNAs corresponding amino acid is attached (by aminoacyl-tRNA synthetases). tRNAs cope with the degeneracy of the genetic code in two manners: having more than one tRNA (with a specific anti-codon) for a particular amino acid; and 'wobble' base-pairing, i.e. permitting non-standard base-pairing at the 3rd anti-codon position. RNAcentral also lists the same sequence under 1 other name. The record is from RNAcentral.